Molecule: long non-coding RNA, 214 nt
Filed under: Homo sapiens (human)
Lineage: Eukaryota; Metazoa; Chordata; Mammalia; Primates; Hominidae
Description: non-protein coding lnc-ZFC3H1-16:1
Source: RNAcentral
AGGCACUGCUGGCAUCCUGGCCGGCUGCGUUUGCACUGCUUCUCCAAAACCACAUUAUAGGUACUAAACAACAUUGUUUAGUACCUAUAAUGUGCUAGACUCCUGGCUGCUAGCGAGAUCAGAGGGUCAGAAGUUUUAAGGAUCAUUACACAUGGUACUCUAUGGAAAGGAUUGCCAACGCUAUGGAAGAAAACCCCAACAAAGAUAGAAAACA